This 497-nucleotide ribosomal RNA is filed under the name uncultured bacterium. RNAcentral describes it as "partial 16S ribosomal RNA". It matches the Rfam family "Bacterial small subunit ribosomal RNA", at positions 28 to 507 of the family's 1533-position model. The record is from RNAcentral.
GAUGAACGCUGGCGGCGUGCCUAAUACAUGCAAGUCGAGCGAACGGACGAGAAUCUUGCUUUUCUUAUGUUAGCGGCGGACGGGUGAGUAACACGUGGAUAACCGACCUAUAAGACUGGGAUAACUUCGGGAAACCGGAGCUAAUACCGGAUAAUAUUUUGAACCGCAUGGUUCAAAAGUGAAAGACGGUCUUGCUGUCACUUAUAGAUGGAUCCGCGCUGCAUUAGCUAGUUGGUAAGGUAACGGCCUACCAAGGCAACGAUGCAUAGCCGACCUGAGAGGGUGAUCAGUCACACUGGAACUGAGACACGGUCCAGACUCCUACGGGAGGCAGCAGUGGGGAAUAUUGGGCAAUGGGCGAAAGCCUGACCGAGCAAUGCCGCGUGAGUGAUGAAGGUCUUCGGAUUGUAAAACUCUGUUAUUUGGGAAGAACAUAUGUGAAAGUAAAUGUUGACAUCUUGACGGUACCUAAAGAGAAAGCACCGGCUAACUACGUG